UCCGAUAUGGUGUAGUGGUUAACAUCGUCCGCUUUCAAUAGUAGAUUUCAAGAUCUGCUAAGAUGGUCCGGACAGCCCCGGGUUCGAUUCCCGGUAUCGGAA
Non-coding RNA from Arthrobotrys megalospora, 102 nucleotides. Lineage: Eukaryota; Fungi; Ascomycota; Orbiliomycetes; Orbiliales; Orbiliaceae. The record is from the annotation of a GenBank genome assembly.